GGCGGGGCUGUGAGUGGCGGCCUCUCUGCCCGGCAGAUUUGUCUGCUCUGGAGGGAGAAGGGCGGGUAGGAGGGAGGAGGCCGCUGCUGCUGCUGCAAGAUGGCGGCGCAGAGGAGGAGUCUGCUGCAGAGUGAACAGCAGCCCAGCUGGACAGAUGACCUACCAUCCUGCCAUCUCUCUGGGGUGGGCUCGGCUCCAAACCGUUCUUACAGUGCAGAUGGCAAAGGUACAGAGGGUCACCCCUUGGAAGAUAACUGGUUGAAAUUCAGGAGUGAGAACAACUGCUACCUCUAUGGUGUCUUCAAUGGCUACGAUGGCAACCGAGUCACCAACUUUGUGGGCCAGAGGCUGUCUGCAGAACUGCUGCUGGGCCAGCUGCAUGCAGAUCACAGUGAUGCUGAUGUUCGCCGAGUUCUGCUGCAGGCUUUUGAUGUGGUAGAAAGAAGUUUCCUGGAGUCCAUUGAUGAUGCUUUGGCAGAAAAGGCCAGCCUGCAGUCCCAGCUGCCAGAGGGUGUUCCUCAUCACCAGCUGCCUCCUCAAUACCAGAAGAUCGUGGAGAGAUUGAAAGUUGUAGAGCAGGAGAUCUCUGGAGGAGCCAUGGCCAUCGUGGCUGUUGUUCUCAACAAUAAGCUCUAUAUCGCCAAUGUUGGUACCAAUCGUGCACUAUUGUGUAAGUCCACAGUGGAUGGACUGCAGGUGACUCAGCUAAAUGUGGACCAUACGACAGAGAAUGAGGAUGAACUUUUUCGCUUCUCUCAGCUGGGCUUGGAUGCAGGGAAGAUAAAACAAGUGGGAACCAUCCGUGGGCAGGAAAGCACUCGGCGCAUUGGAGACUACAAAGUCAAAUAUGGCUACACUGAUAUUGAACUGCUCAGUGCUGCUAAAUCUAAGCCUAUUAUAGCAGAGCCUGAAAUCCAUGGAGGGCACUCGCUGGAUGGAGUGACUGGCUUCUUGGUGCUUAUGUCUGAAGGCCUCUACAAAGCUCUGGAGGCAGCUCAUGGGCCUGGGCAGGCCAACCAGGAAAUUGCAGCCAUGAUAGCCACAGAGUUUGCCAAGCAGACAUCGCUGGAUGCUGUGGCCCAGGCUGUAGUUGACCGGGUGAAACGGAUCCACUGUGACACUUUUGCCAGUGGUGGGGAACGGUCCAAGUUCUGUCCCCGACAUGAAGACAUGACCCUACUUGUGAGGAAUUUUGGCUAUCCCUUGGGUGAGAUGAGUCAGCCCACGCUAACACCAACACAAGGGGGCCGUGUCUACCCCGUCUCUGUGCCGUAUUCCAGCUCCCAAAGCACGAGCAAAAUGAGUGUCACACUGUCUCUCGUCAUGCCUUCCCAAGGCCAGAUGGUCAAUGGUGCCCACAGCAGCUCAACUCUGGAUGAAGCCACCCCCACCCUCACUAAGUAAAUAUGCUGCUCUCUUGAUACCCGCAGUCCCCUGCAGCUCACGCUGUGUGAAGUGGUUGAAAAGCAGAGACACACCUGUCACUCAUUCCCUUAUCUGCAGCGUGGCCCUCCUGACUGCAGUAUUGACAGCCAGUCCAAAGCCCCACUGUGACUCUCCAGUCCACUAACACUCACACGCAGAGUAGCAGCUCAAGUUCGGACGGGGGUCUCUUCCGCUCCCGCCCUACCCACUCGCUCCAGCCAGAUGAAGAUGGGCGUGUGGAGCCCUACGUGGACUUUGCAGAGUUUUACCGGCUUUGGAACAUGGACCAUGGUGAGCAGGGAGCACUGACUGUAUCCUAACCUGGAAAUGUGCCUCUUCCACCCACCCGGUGCUCGGCUGCGCGAGAAAGGACUGAGGAGGGAGCAACAGCGCUCCAGCUCUAUUCUGUGUUCCGCCAAGAGUUAACUCCUAUGCGGGAUGUGCUGAACACUGGGCUGGGGAGCUGCGCUCUUGUCAUACGCAUUGCCUGCGCAAUGCGCCUAAUCCUGACCGACCUCUUUCCCGUGGAAGCCCAGUGAACGUGGAAAGGGGUCUCGAAUGCAACCCUCACUGCAGGUUUCUACAAAUAAAGUUGCAGAGAGGGCUCCCUCCUGGAUAAUGCAAGAGUAGAGGCCUGUACAAAGGCUGUGUGUGCGUGUGUAGGUGUACAUGUGUGCCUGCGUGUGCGUGUGCUGUCAAAAUGUUUCCACAAUUCAUAAUGCUGUGAUUCCAGUGUUCAACUCCAUAGAAGAUACCUCUAUUUUGCAGAAUAAAUAACUUAUAGCUACACUCA
This is a non-coding RNA of Coturnix japonica (Japanese quail), 2218 nucleotides long. The record is from RefSeq and is a predicted model, not a curated record. NCBI's taxonomy places the organism in Eukaryota, Metazoa, Chordata, Aves, Galliformes, Phasianidae.